AGUGAACGCUGGCGGUAGGCCUAACACAUGCAAGUCGAACGGCAGCACAGUAAGAGCUUGCUCUUACGGGUGGCGAGUGGCGGACGGGUGAGGAAUACAUCGGAAUCUACUUUUUCGUGGGGGAUAACGUAGGGAAACUUACGCUAAUACCGCAUACGACCUACGGGUGAAAGCAGGGGAUCUUCGGACCUUGCGCGAUUGAAUGAGCCGAUGUCGGAUUAGCUAGUUGGCGGGGUAAAGGCCCACCAAGGCGACGAUCCGUAGCUGGUCUGAGAGGAUGAUCAGCCACACUGGAACUGAGACACGGUCCAGACUCCUACGGGAGGCAGCAGUGGGGAAUAUUGGACAAUGGGCGCAAGCCUGAUCCAGCCAUACCGCGUGGGUGAACAAGGCCUUCGGGUUGUAAAGCCCUUUUGUUGGGAAAGAAAAGCAGCAGGUUAAUACCCCGCUGUUCUGACGGUACCCAAAGAAUAAGCACCGGCUAACUUCGUG
Molecule: ribosomal RNA, 492 nt
Filed under: uncultured bacterium
Lineage: Bacteria
Description: partial 16S ribosomal RNA
Rfam family: Bacterial small subunit ribosomal RNA
Source: RNAcentral